UCGAUUAUUGAUGGGAAGAUAUUAUUUAACUAUCCAAAAUAUUAUUUAAUUAUUUUCAGAAUUAUUUUCUUUCAAUGUUUAUUCAAAUAGAACUUAAACCCAUCUCAGAAUUUUUAAAUGCUUGAUGACGUCACAUUUAAAACGUGGCAACAUUGGUUUCCCCACUUUGACAGCCAAUGCUUAGUAGAGGGGUACGAAGGAUUCAGCUGUGAACGUGAGCCUUGGAUUGCCAUUGUUUCUCGAGUGUUCGGUCUGAAUCGUAGUGUGCGGGGUCAUUAGACUCAAUUAUUCACCUCUAAUUCUCAGUUCCAAAUUGAUUAAAUAUUACAAUAAAAGUAUAGUGAAGUUAUCCAGCAGCAGUGGAUUUGAAGAAUUUUAGAGCAUACUAUAUCCAAUGAGUUCUACCCCGCACCUACCAUGAAAUCUUAAAGCCACCCUACAACAACACCAAGGCCAGACCACACAGAGAGAAACAAUCAAUAGGCGACCAGCCUGGAUUAUUUCCACAUUUUCUUUUUUUGAGUACCUCCAGCUGCUUUCCAACAGUUUUGAGUACCUUCAGCUGCUUUCUACCAGUCUUCCUCUCCUGUACCUCCAGCAGGACAGCUGCUAGCGAGAGUUAGCACCCUUGGGUGCUCAUUACAUCAACUUCAAGAUUAGGAAAGAGUGGUUUGUUUGGGAACAUUUACUGUGCUCUUAUUAAAGACAGACUGGUUUUGUGAUAUUUAGUACAUUUUUUUUUUAUAGUUCAAUUGCACACACAUUUUUCCUGCUUUAUAUUUUUUAUAGGUUUUUUUUUUCUUUACAACAUAAUAUUUAAUUGAUAGCGUUCCCCAACACUCUGCAAUCUAUAAAGGUAUAAAUUUCUGAGCUCAGAUAUUUUCCCUGAUAAUAGUAGUCGGUACUCUUAUCUUGAUUAUUUUUAGGCUGUGUUCCACUUUUGUAUAAUUAUUUAAACUCAUUCCAUUAUUUUAGUAUAUGUUUAAUUAAAUUUUUAAAAAUUAACUUCACAUAUUAGUCAAAAUUGUAAUUAUUAACUUUAUUUAACUUGAACUUAUUAACUUUACUUAACUUUAACUUAUUAACUUUAUUUAACUUUAACUUUAAUUUAUUAAAUUCAUAUGAACUUCUGGAUUCUAAUCCCUCAGAUUAGUUUUUGGUUUCACUUGUUAUUAUUACUAUUAUAAACCACGAGUUAGGAAAAGGAUCUGUGUAUCCACUCGUAGGUUUAUUUAUUCAAUAAGGCUUGUGCCUGUCCCACUCACAGUGAGGUAUUUAUAUGUUAUAUAUAGUAUCAGGUAGUAUUUAAUUAAGGUGUACGUAUUAUAAACGUACAAUUAUUAUUUGGUGAGGGUUCUACUAACCUAGUUGUAAGUUGUACUUCCUGUAUUAGAGGUACCCGUAGUCAGUUUUUCUAACCUUAUAAAGAGUAUUCUUAGAUCAUAGUUGUAUGAUGAUUUUGUAAUUGACUUUCACUAGUAUCACUUUUUCCUGUCAUGUUAGAGUUACACACUAGUUACUUGUCCUAACUCAGAGAUUGUUAAAAAGAUCUAGUAGUUACAUUCAAUAAAUAUACAUUUAUUGUGA
RNAcentral lists this long non-coding RNA (1587 nucleotides) under Diabrotica virgifera virgifera (western corn rootworm). RNAcentral's name for it is "uncharacterized LOC126884979". Lineage: Eukaryota; Metazoa; Arthropoda; Insecta; Coleoptera; Chrysomelidae. The record is from RNAcentral.